RNAcentral lists this ribosomal RNA (649 nucleotides) under uncultured bacterium. RNAcentral's name for it is "bacterial SSU rRNA". It matches the Rfam family "Bacterial small subunit ribosomal RNA", at positions 54 to 749 of the family's 1533-position model. The record is from RNAcentral.
CAUGCAAGUCGAACGAGACCUUCGGGUCUAGUGGCGCACGGGUGCGUAACACGUGGGAAUCUGCCCUUGGGUUCGGAAUAACAGUUGGAAACGACUGCUAAUACCGGAUGAUGACGUAAGUCCAAAGAUUUAUCGCCCAAGGAUGAGCCCGCGUCGGAUUAGCUAGUUGGUGGGGUAAAGGCCUACCAAGGCGACGAUCCGUAGCUGGUCUGAGAGGAUGAUCAGCCACACUGGGACUGAGACACGGCCCAGACUCCUACGGGAGGCAGCAGUGGGGAAUAUUGGACAAUGGGCGAAAGCCUGAUCCAGCAAUGCCGCGUGAGUGAUGAAGGCCUUAGGGUUGUAAAGCUCUUUUACCCGGGAAGAUAAUGACUGUACCGGGAGAAUAAGCCCCGGCUAACUCCGUGCCAGCAGCCGCGGUAAUACGGAGGGGGCUAGCGUUGUUCGGAAUUACUGGGCGUAAAGCGCACGUAGGCGGCUUUGUAAGUAAGAGGUGAAAGCCUGGAGCUCAACUCCAGAACUGCCUUUUAGACUGCAUCGCUUGAAUCCAGGAGAGGUGAGUGGAAUUCCGAGUGUAGAGGUGAAAUUCGUAGAUAUUCGGAAGAACACCAGUGGCGAAAGCGGCUCACUGGACUGGUAUUGACGCUGA